RNAcentral lists this ribosomal RNA (484 nucleotides) under uncultured bacterium. RNAcentral describes it as "partial 16S ribosomal RNA". It matches the Rfam family "Bacterial small subunit ribosomal RNA", at positions 30 to 507 of the family's 1533-position model. The record is from RNAcentral.
AUUGAACGCUGGCGGCAGGCCUAACACAUGCAAGUCGAGCGGAUGAAGGGAGCUUGCUCCUGGAUUCAGCGGCGGACGGGUGAGUAAUGCCUAGGAAUCUGCCUGGUAGUGGGGGAUAACGUCCGGAAACGGGCGCUAAUACCGCAUACGUCCUGAUGGAGGAAGUGGGGGAUCUUCGGACCUCACGCUAUCAGAUGAGCCUAGGUCGGCUUAGCUAGUUGGUGGGGUAAAGGCCUACCAAGGCGACGAUCCGUAACUGGUCGGAGAGGAUGAUCAGUCACACUGGAACGGAGACACGGUCCAGAGGCCUACGGGAGGCAGCAGUGGGGAAUAUGAGACAACGGGCGAAAGCCUGAUCCAGCCAGGCCGCGUGUGUGAAGAAGGUCUUCGGAUUGUAAAGCACUUUAAGUGGGGAGGAAGGGCAGUAAGUUAAUACCUUGCUGUUUUGACGUUACCAGCAGAAUAAGCACCGGCUAACUUCGUG